Gavialis gangeticus (Gharial) is the source of this 1992-nucleotide long non-coding RNA. RefSeq lists it as uncharacterized. The record is from RefSeq and is a predicted model, not a curated record. Lineage: Eukaryota; Metazoa; Chordata; Crocodylia; Gavialidae. The transcript is spliced from 4 exons.
GAUCAACCCUCUUGUUUUCCCCUCCUGUGCUACUGAUUUGCUUGCUGUGUAUUCGAUUCGCGUUGCCAUGAAGGCGAAGCUCUAUAUUUAGCCAGCAUCAGAAUCGGGUUUAAGGGAGUGGAAUAAUGAGCUGGAACUGCCAGUUUCAAUGAGUAAGGUAUUUAGAGCAAAAGCCUGCCGGAGGAUUUCUCUUUUAUGAUAUCAAUAUACACGUGAUUGCGAAGGCAUAAAACGGGAUUUUGCCACGAGUGUCCACGGAGGCAACUUUUGGCUCUUCAGCAGAGAUUAGAUUGAGGGCAGGAGGCAUUUUUACUCCGCGACGAGCUCCCGGUGAGAGACUCGCGGGCUCACGCCGGCGCACGGAAGGUUCAGUGAGGGGCCAAGACUUUUGAGGUUUUGUAAGAAAUAAUGGCUGUCCACUCAUGAGAAAAAAACAGAGAAAUGAAAGAUGAGAAAUGAGAGAAAAGAAGAUUUUUCUCACCAUUUAAACUCAGAAGCUCUCAUAAAAAAUGUGACCAAGGGGAGAAGAUAUCACUGGCUACCUGGAUCACCUCGUUGGAUCAAUAUGGCUAUCCAUGACUUUUAUUAAUGAGAGGCAUCAGCAAGUCAAAUGUAAAGUAGAUAUUUGAAGUCAAAAGGAUGCUGGGAAGGAUGAAAAGGCCAAGACAUUUGACUACUUGACCUUAAGGCACAAAUCUGGACCAUUGUCUGCAUGGUUUAUCUUUGCAUACUGUUAGGAAAACUCGGCCUUUUUUUUUUUUUUUACUGUUCACAACGUUCAGCUUAGUAUAUUCUUGUGCAUUUAAAGAAACAUUGUAGAUGUCUUUAUAUUUAUGGUUUUCAGUUUUGCACAAGUGAAUUAAAAUCCAGAAUCAUUAUUGUUAUAAAACACAUAUGCAUGUUCUGAUAAUACCCUAACUUUCACUACAGUAAAAAAAAGCCCUAAAAAGUUUAGUAAAACGUAUUAUGUAUGACAAUAAUAAGUUAUAAUUAAAUCAUUCCUUUUUCCUAUUCAAAUAUCCAAUAAAAAGUGUUAUCAGCCAGGGAAGCAGAAGGUAGAUUAGGUAUCCCAAAACAACUGAAGUAAUAGCAAUGCUAUCAUUGUCCAUUGUUCCACAAACAAAACAAAAAAGUACUCCAGAGUUUCUAUAGAUUUUGGUAUCAUAGACUAUUUCAUAUCUCCUAAUAGUAAUGCUGGUGAGAAAUACUCUUUUAUGUUGAUGACCUCAGAGGCUUUUGUUGAAGACAAGGAAUAGACACUAGCCCAGUCAGUGAAUUCUGUCCAAUUUGGGAACCACAACUAUGCAAAUCUACUGGGAUCCCCCAGUACAUUGUACAACAUUUGGACUCAGAGCAGCACUACUUUACUGAUAGCACCUCAGUUGCCUUGACAUUUGAUUGAAUUUGUCAGCUACUGGGCAGUAGCAGUCAGGGGAGGCAAGAUUCCCGACCAAAAUUUGGGAUCUUCACAGGGUGUUGUUCAAGUUUUAUUGUGUCUUUUUUACUGAUAUGUUGUGUGUGGUCUUGUUGAAAACCCAAUGUUAUGCUGUAUCAUUUACGUUACUUUUAUCACUGUAUGGAUUAUGUUAUGCUGUCUGUAUAAAUCUUUAUGUUUUCGGACAUUGUUUACUCAAAGGAACUCAGAGAGUUGCAUAUUUGAAAAGGAAAGUAGGUUAAACUGCUAAGUAUUUCUUGCCAUUGUGUAAGUAGGGCAAGGACAAUUGCCACUCCAAAUGGCAGAAGGGGCCUCUAGUGGGAUUGAUAUCCAAGGCAUUGUCUGCUUGUACAGGGAAAAAUAAUCCCAUAACAGAAGGGGUAUCAGAGCAAAAUGGCCCAUUACCUAGAGAAUUCUGAGACCCAUGAGCAAUAAAGACAAUGCUGAUGAGGGCAGGGAAGGCCAUUUCUAGAUAUUUUAGGGCUAUCUGUGAGGUGGUCCUGGUUUUUGGAGUUUCUGGCCAUGUCUACAUGAGUGGGGGACUGCACAGUGGUCGG